RNAcentral lists this ribosomal RNA (492 nucleotides) under uncultured bacterium. RNAcentral describes it as "partial 16S ribosomal RNA". It matches the Rfam family "Bacterial small subunit ribosomal RNA", at positions 29 to 507 of the family's 1533-position model. The record is from RNAcentral.
AGUGAACGCUGGCGGUAGGCCUAACACAUGCAAGUCGAACGGCAGCACAGUAAGAGCUUGCUCUUACGGGUGGCGAGUGGCGGACGGGUGAGGAAUACAUCGGAAUCUACUUUUUCGUGGGGGAUAACGUAGGGAAACUUACGCUAAUACCGCAUACGACCUACGUGUGAAAGCAGGGGAUCUUCGGACCUUGCGCGAUUGAAUGAGCCGAUGUCGGAUUAGCUAGUUGGCGGGGUAAAGGCCCACCAAGGCGACCAUCCGUAGCUGGUCUGAGAGGAUGAUCAGCCACACUGGAACUGAGACACGGUCCAGACUCCGACGGGAGGAAGCAGUGGGGAAUAUUGGACAAUGGGCGCAAGCCUGAUCCAGCCAUACCGCGUGGGUGAAGAAGGCCUUCGGGUUGUAAAGCCCUUUUGUUGGGAAAGAAAAGCAGCAGGUUAAUACCCCGCUGUUCUGACGGUACCCAAAGAAUAAGCACCGGCUAACUUCGUG